GUCUCGCAUCAAGAGUUGGGCGUCGCCCAACGCCAACCUGCUUCCCGAGCAAGGUGGCGCUCCCAUUGGGGGGAUGUGGCCGAGGCGGCAACGAACCGGGUGAUC
RNAcentral lists this non-coding RNA (105 nucleotides) under Phenylobacterium sp. Root1277. RNAcentral describes it as "SAM-I/IV (S-adenosyl methionine) riboswitch aptamer". It matches the Rfam family "SAM-I/IV (S-adenosyl methionine) riboswitch aptamer". From Rfam's summary of the family: It is found upstream of a number of genes which code for proteins involved in methionine or cysteine biosynthesis. It has been found mostly in the order Actinomycetales. The record is from Rfam by way of RNAcentral. RNAcentral also lists the same sequence under 1 other name. Lineage: Bacteria; Pseudomonadati; Pseudomonadota; Alphaproteobacteria; Caulobacterales; Caulobacteraceae.